GAAUGCAGAUGAGCAGAUGUGCUGGUAUAUUAAGAAUACUUAUAGGCUGAUUAAUUAUUUUUGUUCUUGUAGAAAUAAUUGCUUUUGAAAUGUUGUCACUUGUUUAUUUCUUUCACAUAUGAAGCAGUUAGGAGGUUGGUCUCUCUUUGUUGUAAACAAUUUAAUGUUUGAAUCUGGAUUUCAUGAAUAAUAUUCAUCUGGAAUUUUCUGUGCAUUAAUUCUCAAAAGUUGAUAUUUGUGCUUCUUCUUUUCAAGAACUGCAAUUCACUGUGACAUGUUUUCUUGCAGCAAUAUAUGUAGGAUACCCAUCA
Molecule: unclassified non-coding RNA, 311 nt
Filed under: Hevea brasiliensis (rubber tree)
Lineage: Eukaryota; Viridiplantae; Streptophyta; Magnoliopsida; Malpighiales; Euphorbiaceae
Source: RNAcentral